AUGAACGCUGGCGGCGUGCCUAAUACAUGCACGUCGAGCGAACAGACGAGGAGCUUGCUCCUCUGACGUUAGCGGCGGACGGGUGAGUAACACGUGGAUAACCUACCUAUAAGACUGGGAUAACUUCGGGAAACCGGAGCUAAUACCGGAUAAUAUAUUGAACCGCAUGGUUCAAUAGUGAAAGACGGUUUUGCUGUCACUUAUAGAUGGAUCCGCGCCGCAUUAGCUAGUUGGUAAGGUAACGGCUUACCAAGGCAACGAUGCGUAGCCGACCUGAGAGGGUGAUCGGCCAUACUGGAACUGAGACACGGUCCAGACUCCUACGGGAGGCAGCAGUAGGGAAUCUUCCGCAAUGGGCGAAAGCCUGACGGAGCAACGCCGCGUGAGUGAUGAAGGUCUUCGGAUCGUAAAACUCUGUUAUUAGGGAAGAACAAAUGUGUAAGUAACUAUGCACGUCUUGACGGUACCUAAUCAGAAAGCCACGGCUAACUACGUG
This 496-nucleotide ribosomal RNA is filed under the name uncultured bacterium. Its description in RNAcentral is "partial 16S ribosomal RNA". It matches the Rfam family "Bacterial small subunit ribosomal RNA", at positions 29 to 507 of the family's 1533-position model. The record is from RNAcentral.